RNAcentral lists this ribosomal RNA (954 nucleotides) under Pungentus azarbaijanensis. Its description in RNAcentral is "partial large subunit ribosomal RNA". It matches the Rfam family "Eukaryotic large subunit ribosomal RNA", at positions 421 to 1176 of the family's 3401-position model. The record is from RNAcentral. Lineage: Eukaryota; Metazoa; Nematoda; Enoplea; Dorylaimida; Nordiidae.
GGACGGAGCCGUCAGGAGCCUUCGGGACUCAGUCGUCUGUAUGGCGAARAUGUAGCGUUUGAGGAACGUAAAGUCUUCUGCGUUUCAUUAGUAGUUGACAGUCGACGCAUUUCUCGAGGGCAAGCAUCGCAACCGAUACGAAAGGCUAGUGAGGUGAUUGGGUUGAGGUCUAGUUCCUUCGGGAACUAGUUUCCAGCCUUUUUGCACGAGUCGCUAGACCGCAGUAUGUAUCGAGCGUCUUAAAAACAUAUACGUUGGCUUAAAAGCUCGUUGAGCGAUGGAUAGUCGACUAAUCAGUUGGUUACUUGCUCGCAGGUGCUGACGAAUUUGGUCUUCUUAGAAGUCGUCAGCGACAAGACGUAUUGGCGUUAGCGAUGUCAGUGUCGGUCGCCCGUCCGACCCGUCUUGAAACACGGACCAAGGAGUCUAACAUAUGCGCGAGCUAAUAGGUGUAAAACCUAUAGGCGCAAUAAAAGUAAACGCUGUUUCGGACAGCUGAGGUACGAUCCUAGAUUCGCUCUAGGCGCAGUACCGUCUCAUCCCUAAGGCAUGUCCUAAGGGUGAAGAUAGAGUGCAUACGUUGGGACCCGAAAGAUGGUGAACUAUGCCUGAGCAGAGCGAAGCCAGAGGAAACUCUGGUGGAGGUUCGUAGCGGUUCUGACGUGCAAAUCGAUCGUCAGACUUGGGUAUAGGGGCGAAAGACUAAUCGAACCAUCUAGUAGCUGGUUCCCCCUGAAGUUUCCCUCAGGAUAGCUGAUACUCGGGAACGAAGUUUUAUCCGGUAAAGCGAAUGAUUAGAGGCCUUGGGGACGAAAUGACCUCAACCUAUUCUCAAACUUUAAAUGGGGUAAGAAGUCGAGCUUGCUCGACCGAAGCUCGACAAGUCGAGAAUUCGAGUAUCAAGUGGGCCAUUUUUGGUAAGCAGAACUGGCGCUGCGGGAUGAACCGAACGGU